AUUGAACGCUGGCGGCAUGCCUUACACAUGCAAGUCGAACGGCAGCACGGGUGCUUGCUCCUGGUGGCGAGUGGCGAACGGGUGAGUAAUACAUCGGAACAUGUCCCGUGGUGGGGGGUAGCCCGGCGAAAGCCGGAGUAAUACCGCGUACGAUCUACGGGUGAAAGCGGGGGGGCUGGAGGGCUCGCGCUAUUGGGUUGGGAGAUGGCUGAUUAGCUCGUUGGUGGGGUGAAGGCCUACCCCGGCGACGAGCAGUAGCGGGUCUGAGAGGAGGACCGGCCACACGAGGACGUGAACACGGCCCAGGCGCCUACGGGAGGCAGCAGUGUGGAAUGUGGGGCAAUGGGCGAGAGUCUUAUCCAGCGAUGCCGCGUGUGUUAAGAAGGCCUUCGGGUUGUGAAGCACUUUUGUCCGGAAAGAAAUCCUUUGCCCUAAUACGGUCGGGGGAUGACGGUACCGGAAGAAGAAGCACCGGCUAACUACGUG
Molecule: ribosomal RNA, 486 nt
Filed under: uncultured bacterium
Lineage: Bacteria
Description: partial 16S ribosomal RNA
Rfam family: Bacterial small subunit ribosomal RNA
Source: RNAcentral